UGGGAUAUAGUCCAACGGUUAAGACACGAGAUUUUGAUUCUUGCUAUUGCGGUUCGAUUCCGCAUAUCCCAG
This 72-nucleotide transfer RNA is filed under the name Candidatus Physcosoma equi. Its description in RNAcentral is "tRNA-Gln". It matches the Rfam family "tRNA". Rfam says of the family: Transfer RNA (tRNA) molecules are approximately 80 nucleotides in length. Their secondary structure includes four short double-helical elements and three loops (D, anti-codon, and T loops). Lineage: Bacteria; Pseudomonadati; Spirochaetota; Spirochaetia; Spirochaetales; Sphaerochaetaceae. The record is from RNAcentral.